CUAGUAUUUUUGCAUAUGAAUAUAAUACAAUGACUGGUUUUUCAGGUAAUCUCUUUUUGCAGUUGAAUAUUUUAUCCUGUAGUCAUUGUGAGAUUACAGCCAACUCGUCUGUCCGAUAGCCACGAGAGGGCAGUGUUAGUGAGUUGUUUAGAAUUUUCACACUGAUAGGAGUGCUGUAUGAGUGUGCUGGGAGGAGGCUAUAACAUUGGAGCUCAUUGUACAACUGUAUAAAUGAAAGACGCUAUCCCUGCUGUCUAUCCCCCUUCUCCCUCCUUCCUCCUUAACUGCCCCCCGACAGAUAUCCAGACUUUUUUUCCACCAGCUCAGUUUGAUGCCCGCCCUUUUACACUAAAAAGCUUUGAGACUGGCAUAUUUCCAAGUUCAGUAGUUGUGAGGGGCAGUGUUUGUUGUGCU
Non-coding RNA from Pelobates cultripes (western spadefoot toad), 414 nucleotides. NCBI's taxonomy places the organism in Eukaryota, Metazoa, Chordata, Amphibia, Anura, Pelobatidae. The record is from the annotation of a GenBank genome assembly.